Molecule: long non-coding RNA, 909 nt
Organism: Quercus robur (English oak)
Lineage: Eukaryota; Viridiplantae; Streptophyta; Magnoliopsida; Fagales; Fagaceae
Exons: 2
Source: RefSeq, a predicted model, not a curated record
ACAAAUCAAACACUCUCCUCCAGUCCUCCUACGCUUCUCUCAUCUCUCUGCUCUCCUUCUACGCUUCUGUCUCUUCUCUCGCUUAUUCCAUCUUACUUCUUCUCUUCCAAACCAACCACAAGAAACCCAGCGGCUACUAAACAAAACUUUAAGGAAGACCCAUAAAAGAAGAAACAGAGUUAUUCAAUUCCCUCCCUAGCCAAACCAACCACAAGGUCCACAAGAACCCAAACGGCUGACCCACCAAAGAAGAAGUUGGAUUCUUCAAUUUUAGCUGUUUCACUAUCAACGCAUGAGAUGUAUAAACAUACAAAAGCAUGUGCUUAUAAAAACAAAGUUAUUGACAAUUGGAGUACAUUGAGAUCUUGUGUGGGACGGAUAGAGCUAUUGGUGUUGGUACAAAAUAUAUGGAUGAUGCAGUUGAAGUAAUGACUGAGGAAGGAGAAAAGUGAUGAAUUCUCCUAUGCACAACAACAUGUCAACAUUUGGUAUCGAUAAGUUAUGCAAUUGAGCCUUGCCAAAGAAAAAAGAGUAGAAAAGAUCCACUUCGAAACAAUUUUUUAGUUUGAGAUUUUGAAUGUUGUUAAAGAAAACCCCAUGUAUUUUGGGUACUCUUUUUCUCUCUCUAAAAUAUUUUAGUUGGCAAGAGUUGGCAAAAAAUUGUUUUAGUUGGCUAUGAUGGAAGGUAUUUAGUCAUUAUUUUGUCAAUUGGUCUAACAAUGGCUUCUUUGUUUUGAAUUUUGUGUAAAAAACACAUAUUUUGGAUACUUUAUUGUCUCUCUUGAAAUAGAACUUUUUAGCUAUUAAGAACUUUGAAACAAUUUUUUAGUUUGAGAUUUUAAAUGUUGUGAAAAAACUCAUGCAUUUGGGUUCUCUCUUUAUGUAGAUAUAGAACAUUUUAGUUGUCAA